GACGAACGCUGGCGGCGUGCCUAAUACAUGCAAGUCGAACGCAGAAGGAGGAGCUUGCUUCUCUGGAUGAGUUGCGAACGGGUGAGUAACGCGUAGGUAACCUGCCUGGUAGCGGGGGAUAACUAUUGGAAACGAUAGCUAAUACCGCAUAAGAGUAGAUGAUGCAUGACAUUUGCUUAAAAGAUGCAAUUGCAUCACUACCAGAUGGACCUGCGUUGUAUUAGCUAGUUGUUGGGGUAACGGCUCACCAAGGCGACGAUACAUAGCCGACCGGAGAGGGGGGUCGGGCACACUGGGACCUGGACACGGCCCAGACUCCCACGGGAGGCAGCAGGAGGGGAUCUUCGGCAAUGGACGGAAGUCUGACCGAGCAACGCCGCGUGAGGGAAGAAGGUUCUCGGAUCGUAAAGCUCUGGUGUAAGAGAAGAACGAGUGUGAGAGUGGAAAGUUCACACUGUGACGGUAUCUUACCAGAAAGCGACGGCUAACUACGUG
RNAcentral lists this ribosomal RNA (495 nucleotides) under uncultured bacterium. RNAcentral's name for it is "partial 16S ribosomal RNA". It matches the Rfam family "Bacterial small subunit ribosomal RNA", at positions 28 to 507 of the family's 1533-position model. The record is from RNAcentral.